Molecule: non-coding RNA, 176 nt
Organism: Camelina sativa (false flax)
Lineage: Eukaryota; Viridiplantae; Streptophyta; Magnoliopsida; Brassicales; Brassicaceae
Source: RefSeq, a predicted model, not a curated record
UCUAUCACGGAGGGAUGCAACAAUUCCAUCUUGCUUCUCGGCCCUCGCGGCUCUGGAAAAGCUGCUGUCUUGGAUCUCGUUGUUGGUGAUUUAUUGGAGGAGUUCCCUGAUUCAGUAUCACUGAUCAGACUGAAUGGUCUCUUGCAUAGUGAUGAUAACUGUGCUUUUAAGGUCUG